AGGAAAAAUCGAAAAUUUAAUGUUUUCUUUUUUGGCUUCUUCCGGAAAAUCCAAAAAUUUUGAAUUUUUUGGAUUUGUUUUCAGAAAAAUUGGAAAAAUUUGGAUUUUUCAGGAAAAAGCCUAACAAUUUCAAAUUUUGCUUU
Molecule: small nucleolar RNA, 143 nt
Organism: Caenorhabditis elegans
Lineage: Eukaryota; Metazoa; Nematoda; Chromadorea; Rhabditida; Rhabditidae
Source: Ensembl